AGCAGAGCCCAACGCUCACCGCUUUGCCUUCUAUGGGGCAACGUGUUCGGCACCCAGAAGUCCCCGCCCUGCUCCAGCCUGAGAAAAUCUGAAUUGCAUGCAGAGCUGCUCACGCCUAUAGGAUGUGGCCUCCUGGCAGUGUCCCCAUGCCCUCAGCAAGGGACCAGGUGAUGAGCCAUCUCUCCCAUCCCCACAUGGAUCUGGGAGUUGCCUCCAGACUGUGAGUAAGGAACAGCCUCGUGUCUCCAGGACUGUUUGCUGUGCCAGGGGUCCUGGGCUGCAUGCUUGCCCCAAGCACAGUGCAGGUGGCACUGGCAGCACAUGGGGGGUGGCUGCUGAGAGGGCAUCCCGAUGGCACUGCAGCACAGGGAUGGGCCCCCAUGCACCACUCAGCCCCACGCCAGGCCCUGCUCUGUCCCCCAGGGAGGCUGAAGGACACUUUGGGCUGAUGGCUUCAUUCUGGGUGUGGGUCCUAGUGAGGAUGGCUGCCCAGCGAUGCACAAAGCCUCUGGAAUUCACCACUGGUGUUUCCUUGUUCUGCCAGCAGCCAGGACGGCCGGAUUGCUGUCCCCUGAGUCACUCCCUGAUAACCAUUUAUUAAUCACAAAGCUUCACGGAUGAAACACUGCUGCUCCUGUUUGCCCCCAGCCCAGUGGGGGGCGGCACAUGGCAUCGCCGUGACUCACAGCAGGAGCAGCGCCGGUGCUCUGGUGGGCACAAGGCUGCACCGGGAUCCGGCCCUAUAUGGAACAUGGGACAGCAGUGGAAACGAUGAUGAGCAAAUGUAUGUGGCUGCAGCUUCCAUGGAAAAGCACUCAGGGUGCCCGGUCAGCGGGCUGUGCUGCAGAGCAGCGUGCUGCCAGCAGAGCCAGCAGGGAUGUGCUGUGAUGCUGGAACACAACAGAGAACCAAAGAGCAUUCAUGCCCGCUCCUGUCAGCUACCAGGAAAAGAAAAAAAGAAGAGAAGGUCACCAGGCUGUAGAACUAUGAAGAGAUGGAUGGGGAGGCAGGAGCUGCUGGGGGUGCAUCACUCGUUGCUCAGGUGUGGAUAUCCACACUCAUUCCCCACAGCGCUCAGCAGUGGGGAGCAGAGAGCAGUGCCCACGGCUUGAGCACCGCGCUGCUGCAGCGAGAAGAAAAGGCACGGAGGAGAUUUUCCUGGAGGAGGGGGGGAAAAAAGGGAGAGGGAGGCCGCCUGUCUGAGCGCAUCACUGCCUGGCACCUGUGUCCCGGGGCAGGCGGCCAAGCGCUGGGAGCAGGCAUGGUGCCACGGCAGCAGAUGGGCACAGAGCAGGCAGCUCUCGGCCUGGGGAGGGGGUGGCUGCUGAGGGCAGAUUUCCCAGCUGAGAAUGUCCAAACAGCUGCCAGUCUGGAGUGUGUACACCUAUAAUUAAGGGGGUAUGCGAUUUCUAAUCCAGCUCAAACGGAGCUGGAUUAAUUGGCAAACCUAAAAAUAGCACCCAUGACCAUGUAUGGCAAGCUUUUGUGUGCAGUUUAAAUUAGGAAAGCGAGCUCUGUUCAAAGCAAGCUGGGAGAGACAGAGGCAUCGCUCUGCAGUGGGACAGCCUGCAAGUGACAGCAGGAGCCCACAGCACAGCCGUGAUCCCACGGCCCCAGGAGCACAGGGGGCAGCACUCAUACCCCAGGAACUUCGCUUAUGGGGGAGUACGAGGUGCCCCCCAUAGAGACCAGCUCUUGGCUGGGCCCCCCAGUGUGCCUGUCCCAAAGGCUCCUCAGACCCUCCCCCUUUCCCAGACAGACCCCAGCGGCAGACAAACCCUGCUGACUGUGCUCCACCACCGCUGCCUUCCUCAAACGCCUCGCAGCCAGACUGCAAGGUUAAAUUGCUUUUAAUUUUUGUUUAAUUAUCUGCAGUGGUACAAAUAACUAACAGUAUCGAUCUGAACUUGGCACACAAAGGCAGGUUUCAAAUGGCAAAGCAUAUUAUGGGAUCGAAUUAUUAAAUGUAGCUAAUGAGCAAAAUAAUGAUGCGGUGCCAAGCUGUAAGAGGUUAGACUUUAAAGUUGUCACAGUUCAUAAGCAAGAAAGAUUCAAUCAUAUUCUUAAUCAAAUAUUUAUAUGAUAAUGUGCCUUAAUCAAAAUAACAACAAU
Molecule: long non-coding RNA, 2112 nt
Organism: Phasianus colchicus (ring-necked pheasant)
Lineage: Eukaryota; Metazoa; Chordata; Aves; Galliformes; Phasianidae
Source: Ensembl